This 449-nucleotide ribosomal RNA is filed under the name uncultured bacterium. Its description in RNAcentral is "bacterial SSU rRNA". It matches the Rfam family "Bacterial small subunit ribosomal RNA", at positions 328 to 794 of the family's 1533-position model. The record is from RNAcentral.
UGACCAGACUCCUACGGGAGGCAGCAGUGGGGAAUAUUGCACAAUGGGGGAAACCCUGAUGCAGCGACGCCGCGUGAGUGAAGAAGUAUUUCGGUAUGUAAAUCUCUAUCAGCAGGGAAGAAAAUGACGGUACCUGAUUAAGAAGCCCCGGCUAACUACGUGCCAGCAGCCGCGGUAAUACGUAGGGGGCAAGCGUUAUCCGGAUUUACUGGGUGUAAAGGGAGCGUAGACGGUGAUGCAAGUCAGAAGUGAAAGCCCGGGGCUCAACUCCGGGACUGCUCUUGAAACUGGCAGGCUUGAGUGCUGGAGAGGUAAGCGGAAUUCCUAGUGUAGCGGUGAAAUGCGUAGAUAUUAGGAGGAACACCAGUGGCGAAGGCGGCUUACUGGACAGUGACUGACACUGAGGCUCGAAAGCGUGGGGAGCAAACAGGAUUAGAUACCCGUGUAGG